Molecule: long non-coding RNA, 2682 nt
Organism: Pan troglodytes (chimpanzee)
Lineage: Eukaryota; Metazoa; Chordata; Mammalia; Primates; Hominidae
Exons: 4
Source: RefSeq, a predicted model, not a curated record
CAUUACUAUCACCCCUUCACAUGUGUUUCAGCAUUUAUUGUAUAGUGCCAGACACACUAUUUCAACUAUCCUCUGAGAAAGAUUCAUCACUUGUCAAAUCCUUUUUGAACUCCUACUACGUGCUUGGAACUUUCCUGGGCUUGGAAACCACAGAGGUGAAUGAAACACAGCCCCUUCCUUCUAGGGGCCCACAGUUUAAUAUGAAAAACUAAUAGGGUCUUGUUCUGUUGCCCAAGCUGGAGUGCAGCAGCAUGAUCAAAGCUCACUAUAACUUCAAAUUCUUGGGCUCAAGCAAUCCUCCCAUCAAGGGAAAGCAAACCUCCGGGGUCUGGAUUUGUGCCAUGCUUCAGUAGCAGGGUUUCUCAUCUGGGAAGUCUUUCUACAUGCAAAGAAUUUUCUGCAGGUGCCUAAGCUUCCACUAUGAAUAAGAAUAUUUCCUCAAGCCAAAUAGCAAGUAAUAACAGAAGAGGGAAGGGGGAUAUAUGUUAAACUUGCCCUCUCACAUUUUCUUUUUGAAGCUUUCUUUAUGAUUCGAAAGAAAUGACAAUCUGAAAGGACUAGGAAAAGACUAUUCUCAAUGACAAAUUAAAUACAUUGUAUCUUCGAGUCAAGGUAUAAUUAAAAUCACUCUAUGGCGUGCCUUUGACUGUGAUGGAAGAUAAAAAAGAAUCAUAAAUGGGAACCACAGAUAUCUUUUACCCACGGAGAAACAUUUUCAUCAAAUAAUAAUUAGAAUGUUUUCUGUUUAUUUCAGUGACUGCACAUAAGUAACUCUCCCUUAUGACUCACUGAGCAAAAGAGUCCCCCCAAAAUCCCAUUAGUAUCAGUGAAAUACAGUAAAUUUCAUCAUAGUCAAUGUGUAAGAAUGGCAUAAUAAGAUCUUUGCUGAUUAAAGGAAUGUGUGAUUGCAUCUGCUGGGCAUUGGGCUGCAUCUACUGAUAAAAAGUAAGCGAAUGUUUACUUAAACUAUAAAAGAAAGGAAAUGUACACCUUGAGGCAAGGACAAUGAAUUCCAAAGACGAUGCCUUCCAUUGUGAUUACAUGCAAAAGAAAAACCAAGUGCCCAUUCACACACAGUGCAAUGUGGGGAAGGGUUAAUAUUCUGGACAGUAGAUGGUGCUGAAACCUCAGCAGAAGGAGAGUGUCCCUCUUUUUCUGUUUAACCUGCUCCUGUCAGCAAUUUUCUGCAUGUUUUCAGAUUCCUCUGUUUAAGGACUGCAUCUUGGGAAAGAAGCAAUAAUUCGCAUAUUCUAAAGCAGUACUUCUUUGUUUGCUUAUAGAUUUGAGAUGAGGUCACCGAGGAGCAUAUGAAGCUUAAAAUAGAAGGUAUUAAUAUCUUGGUAGACAAUAUUAGCUACCCCCUCUUUAUUUGAUAUAGACAGGAUUGAUUGAUGAAGCUUUCUGCAAAACAAAGCCUUAAACAAUCCUCCCUCCCCCACCCCCAAUAGUCUGGUCCACCACUGACUAGCUUGUUUGAGGACUUGUCUGUAAUUCUAAGUGAACUUUUUCCUGAAACCCUUCAGAAUGGGCAACUAUUAAUAGAUAUUAGGUCCCCUGCAAUUGUUGAAAUGCCCCCUUUGUGUGCAGCUAGGUAAGGCAUUAUGAGUUUAACUAAAAGAGACUCUUCUUCCUGCUGCAUUGCUCGCUUCAUAGUGAGACCUAUAUACACAUUCAGUGAAAUUUAAAGGAGGGAGAAUGAAAAUCUGAAGAGCCCUGAAUUAAGACUUUGUUACUGUUUUUCAUUUUGGAGAGAAAGAGGCAAAUCAUUGGAAAACUCACUCUUGUAAGGAGCAGGUUUGAGGGUCACUGGACAUUUAGUCCAAUCUUCCACACUAGAGAUAGGGAAACUUUUCUCUCUAUUGAGAGUUGCUGACCCAAAGAGAAAAAUAAAAAACCAAUCGAGGGUCACGCAAGUAUAAAGCAACUUAAUUUAGUUUAUUUUCAGAGAGAUGUUUACAACUUUUCGUGUCUUUUAAAUUAGGUACAGGGAACAUAAAAUUUAAAGAUACAUCAAAUAAUGUAAAAGUUAGAUCUAAUCUAAUAUAAAGGAUAAUGGAGGUGGAAAGAAUGUUAAAGCCAAGAGACAAGGAAAAGGAGAUGAAAAUGCAGAGAAACAGAGCAAGACAGACAAGCAGAGAGCGGCAGAAUCCUCUACUCCACAAAGACAUCAAAUGCUAAUAAAUGACAUUCACACCAAGUGGAGAACACAGAGCCAGAAAAGAAUUUUUAGAAAGUGAAAAGGCAGUCUUUUGUGGAGCACCAUUCCAUCUUUUGGUUUUUAUGAUAUUAAAAUAGAAACCCUUUGUUGGGCAAGCUCUAUCUUUGUAAUUACAGUCAUUUGCAGAUAAGCUGUAUCUUGCCACUUCCAACUAAAGGGUGCCUGAAAUUUAAGUCAGAGUUCUGACGUGACCCAAAGUCCCACAUUUUCCAAAUCCACAUUUACUGUUCUCUAAAAUGACAAGUAGGCUUUGCCAUAGUGAUAAGUGAAGCACUCUAGUACUACUACAGACUGAAAGUAUUGAGAAACGGUCAGCAUUAAAAAUUGGCAGGAUACUUCAGAAAGAGAUUAAGGGCAGAAAGAGAAAUAGAUUUUUGGCUAGGUCUUGGUUAGUCAAAAAACAUUAAUGACUUCCUCAUUCCACAAACAUGUUAGUUACUUGAAUUAAAACAAACAAAACCCCU